GCGUGGAUAACCUGGUAUCUGUCAUUCAUAAAUCUACUUCAAGCAGAUUGAUGGGCAUGUUGUAGCUGUGAAGAGUAUACAAGACACUUAUCAAGCUCAAUGAAAAUUCUUUUAGACAAAGUCUUUGAUCAAAGCACCAAUAUUCAAAAAUUUAAGGGAAUCAUAAGUGAUCUCAUCACUAUAAAAGAUAAUUUAAUGGCUCUAGUUCAUUAACUCUGUCAAGAUCAGGACAAGAAGCAUGACGAGCUUAACGAGCAAGUCACUCUCUACAUCCUAGGUUGUAUCCAUGGUUGAGACCAUAAGACAUCUCACGGAGGAAGUAGGAGCUCGUCAAAAAGAUGCUAACAAAAAAUAGAAGAAGAGAAAACCACAGAAAGUUCAAUCAUCACAUCAUCUUCCUCCUUCCAGAACUCCUCAUGCUAUCCCUUUGCCUUUGAGAUCUUAAGCACCAGGAUCAUCGAGUGCUCCAGGAUCAUCGAGUGGAGUAAUUCAAACUGGCUCAAGGCUUCCAAGUAAUGACCCAAACGUUCUGAAUUGAAAUCUACAAGAGGUUUGAAUACAAGGGAAAGAGUAGUUCAAAUUUCCAAAUCUUGGGCCCAAAGACUCUAUGGAAGAAAUAAGGAGAAAAAAAAGAAAAAACGAAAAUGCUCUAAUAAUCGUAGAGUUGUUGAGGAAAUGAGAAAUUGUG
Molecule: long non-coding RNA, 688 nt
Filed under: Panax ginseng (ginseng)
Lineage: Eukaryota; Viridiplantae; Streptophyta; Magnoliopsida; Apiales; Araliaceae
Description: long non-coding RNA (PGIN_LNC009684)
Source: RNAcentral